This 1045-nucleotide long non-coding RNA is filed under the name Drosophila guanche. The record is from RNAcentral. Lineage: Eukaryota; Metazoa; Arthropoda; Insecta; Diptera; Drosophilidae.
ACUAAGACUCUCUGGAACUACAAUUUUCUACGAUUUUACCAUACAUUCGCCAAAAGGUUGGCCUACUCUAUUUUAUUGAAUUGUUUACAAAAAUAGCGAUAUAACCAAAAGGGUUACACAAAAAAUAAUAAAUAAACGCUACGUUUUUAGAAUGUUUUGUUACGUUAUUUGACAUUUUGUUGCUGGCCACCCAGUAGUAUGUCCUUUGUGUACCAUGUUUCCAUUAUUUAAUAUUAACAUUUCGUGUUAAAAUAUUAACAUUUUCGUUUGUUCUUUCAUUGAUUAGAGCCAAGGAUUUCCCUAAUUUUCUCAAUUCGAGGACAUCCAUCCUUCCAAGGGUACUAAAUGUUGCUUAUCCCAAGGAAAAUGUUGGGGAGCAAUGCUGCUUAGUAUUCGCAGCAUGUUGAUGGUCCAUACAAAUUUUGUUGAUAACGGUAUAAUACAUAAGUGUGGAUGAAAUUCAACUUAAGUGGGGAUGAAGUAUUGGAGAAAAACUGUAACAAGUUACAUAUUUCAACGUGGCGAUUUCCCCCCUUGUAAAGACGGGCGACCAAAUAAUCCACGUCUAUACAAGGGUAGAGCGGUAACUUAAAACACUAACCAAGUAUUAUAAUAUUUGGUUAGUGCUUAAAACUUAAAAAAAAAAAAAUAAUAAGUGGGGAUGGAAUAAAGACUCCUGUCAGAAACAGACUCCGUGCUCUUCCACUCAGAACAAACCAACCACAUCAAACUCAGGUAACAAAGCAGCUUGCAAAUCUCCAACUAAGAAAAUAAUUCCAACCAAGUCUCCUAAAUCUCCAGUACGAUCAAAUCCAGCGAAGCCAAAACUCAAACCUCAAACUUGGUAGACGCAGGAACAACUAUGUCGAAGCAAUCUCGUUAUUUAAUCGAUACAGCGAAACUGGUUGUUGAAUAUUAGAACAAAAAUUGUAUUGAAAAUUUUAACUCAAUGUCGAAACUCGAUGUCAAAAUAUACCGAAAAGUAUAAAAUAUACCGUAAACGGUCACCCCGAUUAUAUACCGAUUGUUGAUGGUGACGGAAUCG